UACAGAGGUGGCAAGCGUUGUUCGGAAUUACUGGGCGUAAAGGGCGCGUAGGCGGUUCGUUAAGUCCUGUGUGAAAUCCCCCGGCUUAACCUGGGAACUGCGUCUGAUACUGGAAGGCUUGAGUAUGGGAGAGGGAUGUAGAAUUCCAGGUGUAGCGGUGAAAUGCGUAGAUAUCUGGAGGUAUACCGGUGGCGAAGGCGGCAUCCUGGACCAUUACUGACGCUGAGGCGCGAAAGCUAGGGGAGCAAACGGG
This 253-nucleotide ribosomal RNA is filed under the name uncultured bacterium. RNAcentral describes it as "partial 16S ribosomal RNA". It matches the Rfam family "Bacterial small subunit ribosomal RNA", at positions 524 to 776 of the family's 1533-position model. The record is from RNAcentral.